Molecule: small nuclear RNA, 114 nt
Organism: Serinus canaria (Common canary)
Lineage: Eukaryota; Metazoa; Chordata; Aves; Passeriformes; Fringillidae
Gene: U5
Rfam family: U5 spliceosomal RNA
About the family: U5 RNA is a component of both types of known spliceosome.
Source: Ensembl
AAACUCCGGUUUCUCUUCAGAUCGUAUAAGUCUUUCACCUUUUACUAAACAUUUCCGUGGAGAGAAAUAAGUACGACUCUUACGAAAAUUUUUGUGGCUCCAUUACGGUGGAGC